GAUGAACGCUGGCGGCGUGCCUAAUACAUGCAAGUCGAGCGAACAGACGAGGAGCUUGCUCCUCUGACGUUAUCGGCGGACGGGUGAGUAACACGUGGAUAACCUACCUAUAAGACUGGGAUAACUUCGGGAAACCGGAGCUAAUACCGGAUAAUAUAUUGAACCGCAUUGUUCAAUAGUUAAAUACGGUUUUGCUGUCACUUAUAGAUGGACCCGCCCCGCAUUAGCUAGUUGGUAAGGUAACGGCUUACCAAGGCUACGAUGCGUAGCCGACCUGAGAGGGUCAUCCGCCAGACUGGAUGUGAGACACGGUCCAGACUCCUACGGGAGGAAGCAGUCGGGAAUCUUACGCAAUGGGCGAGAGCCUGACAGAGCAAAGCCGCGUGAGUGAUGAUGGUCUUAGGAUCGUAGAGCUCUGUUAUUAGGGAAGAACAAAUGUGUAAGUAACUAGGAACGUAUUGACGGUACCGAAACAGAAAGCCACGGCUAACUACGUG
RNAcentral lists this ribosomal RNA (497 nucleotides) under uncultured bacterium. RNAcentral's name for it is "partial 16S ribosomal RNA". It matches the Rfam family "Bacterial small subunit ribosomal RNA", at positions 28 to 507 of the family's 1533-position model. The record is from RNAcentral.